RNAcentral lists this ribosomal RNA (495 nucleotides) under uncultured bacterium. RNAcentral describes it as "partial 16S ribosomal RNA". It matches the Rfam family "Bacterial small subunit ribosomal RNA", at positions 28 to 507 of the family's 1533-position model. The record is from RNAcentral.
GACGAACGCUGGCGGCGUGCCUAAUACAUGCAAGUAGAACGCUGAAGGAGGAGCUUGCUUACAUGGAUGAGUUGCGAACGGGUGAGUAACGCGUAGGUAACCUGCCUGGUAGCGGGGGAUAACUAUUGGAAACGAUAGCUAAUACCGCAUAAGAGUAGAUGUUGCAUGACAUUUGCUUAUAAGUUGCAAUUGCAUCACUACCAGAUGGCCCUGCGUUGUAUUAGUUAGUUGGUGGGGUAACGGCUCACCAAGGCGACGAUACAUAGCCGACCUGAGAGGGGGAUCGGCCACACUGGGACGGGGACACGGCCCAGACUCCUACGGGAGGCAGCAGUAGGGAAUCGUCGGCAAUGGACGGAAGUCUGACCGAGCAACGCCGCGGGAGUGAAGAAGGUUUUCGGAUCGUAAAGCUCAGUUGUAAGAGAAGAACGAGUGUGAGAGUGUAAAGUUCACACUGUGACGGUAUCUUACCAGAAAGGGACGGCUAACUACGUG